UUUUUUUUGGGGGGGGGUUGAUUUAUGCCCCUCUCCUUACAGCCCUCUGGAAGGAAAAUAGUUGUACCUGUGGAGGAAAGAGUUGUAACCCUGUCCUUACAGCCCUGUGGAGGUUGUAAGAAAGUCCUUACAACCCUGAGGAGGAAAAAUAGUGGAGGCCUUUUUGUGUGAUGAUGAUGAGGAUUGCUAUUACUAUUUUCUCCAUGCCUUUUUGUCUUGGGAUUUUGGGGGCCCUUCCAUAUUUGCUGUGUGCCUCCCAAGUCCUUUUGGACUUUAAAAUACCUCCCAGGUCCUUUUGGACCUUUAAGGCUGACCCCAUCAUGGGGUUUUGGCGAGUUUCCAAAGGGGGGGGUUGUCCUUGGCAUCCUUUGAGGCUGAGAGAGUGUGGCUUAAAGGUCAUCCCUGCUUAAAAAGAGCCCGGAAAGGGGGAGGGGGUUUACGGAAGCCGAUCUUCCUUAGGAGACUUUCUUUGAAGAAAGAGAGGCUGAAUUUUGGAAAACGGUAUGCCGUUGAAAACGUUCCCCAAAGUUUUGGAAACGCCGUGGAAGCAAAGAAUUUGUGGGCAAAAUCUGUAGGCUUUGGGAAUCAUUCAUUUUAAAGUCAUGGUUGGAUUUCUUUCUUUUCUAUUUAAACAGGGAAGGGGGGGAGAGAGUCCAGACCUAAACUGAAAUGCAACCUAUGGCUUAUAUUCCCCCCCCCCCUUUUUAUUUUCACUUAGAGAUUUUCUCAAGUCUUGGAUGGAGAGACCCAAACCAGCGUGCCUUCGUUUUUCUUCUGGCUUUUAACCGCUAGAAACGGCUCCGGAGAGAAUGGAAAGAGAUUUCCUUGCAUUGGGGGGAAGACAGGAGGAAAAAGCCCAGCCUUUCCUCCCCGGCCAGCAACACCUUUUAAUUGGCGAGACCUUUUGUUGUGUACUUUUAAGCUGUUUCAGACUUGGUGAUCUGUGGCCUGGUGGGAAUUUGAACCCUAUAGUCCAACACUCAAAAAACUAUGCCAUGCUGGCUGUCUCCCAGCUUUACUCCAAGGGAAUCACUGUGGUCUACAUGAUGUUUUAAUGACACAACCAUUAUCUGGGAUUUCCACUCAAAAGCAGAAAUCAAGACAGUUAUUGGCUGGGAGAUUCUGAGCAUUGGCGUCCGAAAAAACUACAUUUCCUAAGCUCUGCCCCCCUCAAAUGCAGAGGCCUGGUAGAUUAUUAUUAAUUUGAUGCAUGUUAAAGUUGUUGGAAUCCCUAACUUGCUUCUCCUGGUUACACAAGUGUAACUGUUGAGUGACCUCCAUGUUAAUAAAAAAUAUAAUAGUAUUCCCCCCCCCCCUUAAAGUCUGUCUGGAGCAAGCAUGAUUUGAUGUUGCAUCUGGAUAGAGACAUCUAGCCAAAUCUAGUGAGAGAUGAAAGCAAACAUUUUUGGGCGGGUGGGGGAACAGGCAAUAUGUCAGCCAGCCCUUGUCCAAAUGUGUGUUUUGUAGGGGGUUGGCUCUUUGUUUGAAAUGGGACAAAAGUUUGGCUGUUGGGGCUAGAACAGUGAACACAGUCUGCAGGCUGUGGAUGGGAGGAGAGCCUGUUUGGGAUGGAGGAAGGUGAGUGUGUGAGUUUGGGGGUAGGAUGGGCCCUGCCUUACAGUGCUACGCUUAACUUUCUUACCCACACCCACAAUGUUUCAUGGAGGCAAUACAUUCCAAGGAGGUCCAAUGCUUGGGAGAGACCCUGAACAGUAAUGCAGGGAGGAAUUAUACAUCAAAAUGUAGAAAAGGAAAUCAAUCCCCUUUUGGGUGCCUCACUGGAAGAAGAGGGGAGUCCCUGAGACACACGGAAGGUGGAGGUUCCACAUUCCAGAGGUGGCUCUAUUCCUGACCCUGGCUGGCAGAGAGGAAUUUAACAGUGAAAAGGAGAAGAGGUAGGACGGGGAAGGGGAAGGGGUGUGAGGGGAUUCAGAAGCACAGUCCUCCCACCUCUCCUGGAGUGGAUGUAUUUACAAAGGAAACUGUGUGGUGUGUGUGUAGCAUUCCAAGUUUUGUAUCCAGUUGGGCACUGGAGGGAAGGGGGAUUGCAUGGAAUGCAAAGAAUCAAAAGUCUGCCUGAGGUGGGGAAGGGCUGUGGAAUGGCUGUGGAACACUUUCCAUCCUGUUAUUGCAUAAACCUGUUAAAGAAUCCCUCCCCUAUUUCUUGAAAGCAGCAUGCACAGUAAUACUAGUACUUGCUGGGUAGAAUUUAGAGUAUUUGGGAGGGGGGUUCCUUUCCCUUCCUUCACACCCAGCUGGCUGACAAAAUCAGAUAAUUUUGCCUUUUCAAGACCGAACAGCAUUUCUUUGCCUUGUCUUUUUUUUUUCUCCUUCCACCAAGUAGGAUAUUUUUUCUCUCUGAGUCAUAGAUCCUUGCUUACUCAAAUGGCUUGGGAGAGAGGGGGAAGUAAAAGGGGGAGAAGACCUGUUCCUUGCCUAGAUUCAAGUUUCCAUUUGGUGGAGAGGUGUGGCACAAGUUGAUAAGAGUAGACAGCAUGGAGAGUCUGGGGAUAAUGGGAGCUUCUGGGGGACAUCAGGUUGGGAGGAAGAUGUACUUGUUCAAAUAAAAGAUUAGGUGAAAUAUGCAAUGGCCUGGAAGGAGUAUAACGUCUUGUAUUCGUUCUCCAGUGAGUGGCAUUCCUGAGGCAGCUGAGAUAUGUACUCAUACAGGAACAUAGGAAGCUGCUUUGGUUCCUAUAUGAGUCACAAUAUUGGUCCAACUAUCAUAGGUUACACUGAUUGGCAGCAGCUCUUCAGGCUUUUUGAAAAUGGAUUUUUCCAGCUCUGCCUGGAAAAAAAUGUGGGGUAGACUCCUAGACCUUUUGUAUGUUGCUGUGGCUCCUGCACUUGUCACUUCACAAAAUACUUCAAAAGUGUUACUUCAAAAGUUGUAAUGCCAAGGUCCCAAAAAUCACUAGUUGCCUCCAUAGUUACACUUUUAUAGAAAUAAUUGUGCAUUUUCCCAUUUCUCAAAAAUAACUAAAAUUCUUACUUUUAAAAUGAUAACUUGAAUGCUUCAAGCUGCAGGUCUGUCGUACAAAACCUAUUCUCCUCCCAUCUAGCACUCUUAUCACCUUGAUGUCCACAAUAGAGCACAAGACACAGCGCAAACCAGCACUGAAUGACGCAGUAUUUCUCCUUCACUAUUUAAUGAAACCACUCCCCUGUAACCUUAACAGUAGUUAAAAGUUAGUGUCACAAAAAUUGAACUCAUCCUUUGCUAAGUUAGUCAUAAUAACUUGGUUAUACUUAUUGCUAAUAAGAAUACAUUACAAGUAUUACAUGUACCUUCAGUGAAAGGAUCAACUUACUCUUAGAGUGGUGCUUUUUUAAAAAAAAAAGUUAUUGCUAAAAGAAUGACCAUUCAUCUGGUCGUCAAGAAAUGUUAUGCAAAGCAUGUGCUUUUCUUUCAAACUGAUAUGCAUCAACUUUAAUUCCUACACCAAUCUUAAUUCAUGCAACAUGAAUUAAAUUGGUAUGAACCUAUCUUAGUUCAUGUGGCUGGGGAAGUCUGGGAGCUGUAGUAAUUUUCCCCACCUGAGCUCUUGAUAAUGUCCAUAACCAGUUUCACAUUCAGGUUAAAGUAAACUGAUUCUCUCAUCUGUUUGCAUCUGAUGAAGUAGGCUAUAGUCCAGGGUACAGUAUUUUUGUUGCCCUUUAACCACAAUAUAUGAGCUGUAAAUAAUAGUCAGUCUCAUAAGGGUACAGGCUAAGGAAGAGAUGGGGAACCUUUGGCUCCCCACUUGUUUUGGGCUACAUACCCUGCUAUCCAUUGCUAUUCUGGAUGAGGCUGAUAGGAUUUGAAGGCCAAAACAUCACAAGACAAAGGUUCUCAAGCUAUCAGCAAAGGAAUCUGAAGGAUGUUCCCCAAACAUGUAGAAAGGGAAGAAUGUGCUUCCAUUUGCUCUUGUACCUUGAGAGCACAGCAGGCAAAAUUUGCUUUCUGGAUUACAGCUUGCAGGACCUCCAUGCCAGUUGGGGGAUUCUGGAAGCUGUAGUCCCCAGAAGUAGUGUUUCUAAGCUCUGAGACUGUUCCAUGCUUAUUUCCAAAGCCUGUCUGGAGCAUAUGUUCCCAGUUUGCUUAGUUGGCUCUUACAGAGAGGGCAAGAUCUCUUGCCGCUGAUGGAUGUAGCAAGACCACACCCUUGGGAUCAAAGAGGGCUGUCCUGCCUUCCCCUCCUGGCACCACCUUUGUACAGGUUAUGAGAUAAAUUUGUACCCCUUGGGGAGCUCAGUGGCGUGUGUGUGUAUAUAUGUUAUCCGCUUGUGCAACAGCAGUGCAUAGCUGUGGGUUUUCACAUUAUCAUUUUGCUACCGCAGCUCUUGAUUAAGGGCUAAGCAAUCUAAGCUUGAAAGCAUGCAUGCAUAUAAGCGAAUGCUGGCAAGCGCCAUGCACAAAAGUCACGUCGUGUGGGGAAAGGGAGGGACAUUGGAGGAUUUUGAAGUCCGAGCUGGUUCAGUAGCUCUGUCAUUCUUUUUAAGUGGUGGGCAAGAGGCAGGGGAUGCUGUUGGAAAAGGUGUAAUUGAAACAGAUCAGUGCUAAACAGCGCAGAGCAGGAAGUUGAAGUGGGUAAAGGCUUUCUGGAAGGGACCCCCCUUGCAGAGAGAGAGGAAGCAAGGAAGCGCACACAGAGAAAGUCGUGAUUCAUGCAUGAUUCACAUGGGUGGGUGCAAUCCGCUUAGGAAGGUCGCCUUGUUUGGGAGAUGUAGGAAUCCUUGCUGAACACAUCUGAGCAGGUUGGCUCUUGUAGGGUUGAAAGAAUCCCUGCUUUCUGGAAGGAUUUGUACCAGCUUGCUAGAUAGCUCAAGACACCAAGAUAGGAAUGCAAACAAUGUAGUGCGUGUCUUACAGAAAAGAAAAAAAAAAGGAAUUUUGGAAAGGAAACGGAGGGGAAAAGGCAAGUCUCGGAACAUCGUUUGGAAAAUCACACCUGUGGGAUAUAAAGAGGACUCAGGUUAGAGUAUAUUCAGUGGUCUGGUGCUUGCUGGAGCAAUUUGGGCUUGCUUUUUGGAAACAGGUUCUAGAGACCUUUGCCUGAAAAGUAUCCUACCUUUUGUUAUAGGAAAGAUUCAUAACGAUGAAAACCUUGCAGGAGGGAGUUCCUUGCGGUAUUUUAACAACCGUGUACAUUCUACCCUGUGUCAAAAAUAGUUGAAAUCAGUUUUAUUGGAACUGUGGAUACCCAAGCUGCAAACGUCAAACAAUUGCCCAAGUUAUUCUUUAAAAAGCUUUUUGGUGGGCUGAACAGCUAUCUCAAUUGAUUGGGCAACAGGUUUAGUUUAUUUAAAUCAAAUCAUGGUUUUUAAUCUAACUGUAAAAGCUCAAACAUAUUGUUACCAAAGUACUGGAGUAUGUAAUUAAGUUGAAAUGGUCUAAGAAAGGUUGGUAAUGCAGAUGAAUGAUGUUCAUUAUGAAUAAUGAAGGUGCACACAUUUAGAGGCAAUCUCUCAGUUUGUUACAGAACGGAGUAAAUAGUCGUUUGUGAAACAAGACAACAUCAAUGCAAAUGAGGGUUAAAAAUACAGCUGUUAAAGCUGAAUAAUAAAAA
This is a long non-coding RNA of Sceloporus undulatus (fence lizard), 5549 nucleotides long. RefSeq lists it as uncharacterized. The transcript is spliced from 3 exons. The record is from RefSeq and is a predicted model, not a curated record. Lineage: Eukaryota; Metazoa; Chordata; Lepidosauria; Squamata; Phrynosomatidae.